AAUGGUGACGACACACACUAUGUACAGCUUGGCAAAGAAGAGUCUGACGCGGUGACAGCUGGAACUAAGAGUUUUUAUUUAUGACAACACUACAUUACUUGUCAACUCUAGUAUAUAUUGUGUCAAAAGCGAAACGUAGGGUUGCCUGUAUUUAAAGAAAAGAGCCCUCAUUUAAUCCACACUCUUCUUUGCCAAGCUGCAUAUGCUUAC
Aricia agestis (brown argus) is the source of this 210-nucleotide long non-coding RNA. RefSeq lists it as uncharacterized. NCBI's taxonomy places the organism in Eukaryota, Metazoa, Arthropoda, Insecta, Lepidoptera, Lycaenidae. The record is from RefSeq and is a predicted model, not a curated record. The transcript has 4 exons.